This 400-nucleotide ribosomal RNA is filed under the name uncultured Gram-positive bacterium. RNAcentral's name for it is "bacterial SSU rRNA". It matches the Rfam family "Bacterial small subunit ribosomal RNA", at positions 1102 to 1501 of the family's 1533-position model. The record is from RNAcentral.
CCCUUGCUGAUAAUUACUAACGCGUGAUGGCGAGGACUUUAUUGGGACUGCCGGGGACAACUCGGAGGAAGGUGGGGACGACGUCAAAUCAUCAUGCCCCUUAUGACCUGGGCUACACACGUGCUACAAUGGCCGAGACAGAGAGAAGCGAGGGCGCAAGCCGGAGCGGAUCUGCCAAAAGCGGUCACAGUUCAGAUUGUGGGCUGCAACCCGCCCACAUGAAGCAGGAGUUGCUAGUAAUCGCGGAUCAGCAUGCCGCGGUGAAUACGUUCCCGGGCCUUGUACACACCGCCCGUCACACCAUGGGAGUUGGGAGCACCCGAAGGCAGAGAGGUAACCGCAAGGGGCCAUCUGACGAAGGUGAGACCAAUGACUGGGGUGAAGUCGUAACAAGGUAACC